AUUGAACGCCGGCGGCAGGCCUAACACAUGCAAGUCGGGCGAACGAGGCUUCGGCCAAGUGAGCGGCGAACGGGUGAGUAACACGUAGGAAUCUGCCUGGUAGUGGGGGACAACGUCUCGAAAGGGACGCUAAUACCGCAUACGCCCUACGGGGGAAAGCAGGGGCUCUUCGGACCUUGCGCUAUCAGAUGAGCCUGCGUCGGAUUAGCUAGUUGGUAGGGUAAAGGCCUACCAAGGCGACGAUCCGUAACUGGUCUGAGAGGAUGAUCAGUCACACCGGAACUGAGACACGGUCCGGACUCCUACGGGAGGCAGCAGUGGGGAAUAUUGGACAAUGGGGGCAACCCUGAUCCAGCCAUGCCGCGUGUGUGAAGAAGGCCUUCGGGUUGUAAAGCACUUUAGGUCGGGAGGAAGGUUUGCUGGCUAAUAUCCAGCGAAAUUGACGUUACCGACAGGAUAAGCACCGGCUAACUCCGUGCCAGCAGCCGCGGUAA
RNAcentral lists this ribosomal RNA (494 nucleotides) under uncultured bacterium. RNAcentral's name for it is "partial 16S ribosomal RNA". It matches the Rfam family "Bacterial small subunit ribosomal RNA", at positions 30 to 523 of the family's 1533-position model. The record is from RNAcentral.